GACAGAGGGUGCAAACGUUGUUCGGAAUUACUGGGCAUAAAGCGCACGUAGGUGGUCCGCUAAGUCGCGUGUGAAAUCCCCCGGCUCAACCGGGGAAAUGCGCGUGAUACUGGCGGGCUUGAGAUCGGGAGGGGUGAAUGGAACUCCAGGUAGAGCGGUGAAAUGCGUAGAUAUCUGGAGGAACACCGGUGGCGAAAGCGGUUCACUGGCCCGACACUGACACUGAGGUGCGAAAGCUAGGGUAGCAAACGGG
This 253-nucleotide ribosomal RNA is filed under the name uncultured bacterium. RNAcentral describes it as "partial 16S ribosomal RNA". It matches the Rfam family "Bacterial small subunit ribosomal RNA", at positions 524 to 776 of the family's 1533-position model. The record is from RNAcentral.